RNAcentral lists this unclassified non-coding RNA (979 nucleotides) under Hevea brasiliensis (rubber tree). Lineage: Eukaryota; Viridiplantae; Streptophyta; Magnoliopsida; Malpighiales; Euphorbiaceae. The record is from RNAcentral.
UUUUUUUUUUUUUUUUUUUUUUGUGAUUUGCUGCCUACACACAAAGUUCUCCAAGUCCUCCUGGCCUCUCAUUGCCCUAAUAUGAAACUGAUUCUUAUUCAAGAAAAACUUCAAAUAUGACUCCUUCAAGAUUUCCAACCAGUGCUCGGGUCCCAGGUACUUCAUUCAUCCUCAUUCCAUGCCGAGUAGCUUCUUUGAUGACCAGUGAAUCCAUGAUCUUUGCUCGUGAUACAUAAGCUAGUAUGAAUUUGCACUGUUCUCCCCUAAAGCGAAGAAGCUGUUCCACAGUAUCAAAAAGCAAAGGAACACUUGACUGCUGAAAGCAUAUGUCAGCUCCAAGAAUCAGAUCAAAUCCUCCCGAAUAUCUUUUUAAAAUUUGGUUUAUUUGAUCAGAAUUUCCCCACUCUAGCCUCUCAGCUUCUAAUUCAGCACAACAAUUUGGGUUCACAGAAGGUGCAUGAAGCUCUAUAUUUUUCUUGAGGAUCUUCAACACUUCAUCAUUGUGAUCAGUUAACACAACUUGACGACAAAAUCUGCCACAGAGUAUCCCAGUAACUCCUACACCAGAUCCUAACUCAAUAACAGAACAUCCUUGGAGCAUCUCAACAUUUUUUGAGAGAUAAUCAUUCAAAAGCUGGGCACCAGGCCAUACCAGUUGCCCUGUCAAAUCAAAAUCAGUAGAAGCAGAUUGGAGACAGAGAAGCUGAAGAACAUGAGACCCAAAUGUAAAAGUGGUCAGCUGGUAAUCGUCAUUGAUAAAGAAAGAUUCGUCUAAGCAAACAAUUUCCUCCUCUUUUUCUUUUUCUUCGUCUUCACUAUUCAUUCUUCUGCUUAAUUCAUUCCUGAUAAUCUUUCUUUCUCCGUUCUCGUCCAUCUCGUCCCUAUGGAUGUAGUGGGAUUGUUGGUAGCUGUGCAAGAAUCGCAGCGGGGGCGGUGAGCGGCGGAGGAAAAGAAAAUAGUGUUGCGGUGAAUGAAGCUG